RNAcentral lists this transfer RNA (72 nucleotides) under Apoderus coryli (hazel leaf roller). Its description in RNAcentral is "tRNA-Lys". The record is from RNAcentral. Lineage: Eukaryota; Metazoa; Arthropoda; Insecta; Coleoptera; Attelabidae.
CAUUGGGUGGCUGAAGAGUAAGUGAUGGUCUCUUAAACCAUUCUAUAGUAUAUUAACAAAUACUUCCAAUGG